This 465-nucleotide ribosomal RNA is filed under the name uncultured Coxiella sp. RNAcentral's name for it is "bacterial SSU rRNA". It matches the Rfam family "Bacterial small subunit ribosomal RNA", at positions 338 to 795 of the family's 1533-position model. The record is from RNAcentral. Lineage: Bacteria; Pseudomonadati; Pseudomonadota; Gammaproteobacteria; Legionellales; Coxiellaceae.
CCUACGGGAGGCAGCAGUGGGGAAUAUUGGACAAUGGGGGAAACCCUGAUCCAGCAAUGCCGCGUGUGUGAAGAAGGCCUUCGGGUUGUAAAGCACUUUCAGUGGGGAAGAAAGAACCAAAAUUAAUACUUUUGGGUGUUGACGUUACCCACAGAAGAAGCACUGGCUAACUCUGUGCCAGCAGCCGCGGUAAUACAGAGAGUGCAAGCGUUAAUCGGAAUUACUGGGCGUAAAGCGCGCGUAGGUGGAUAUUUAAGUCGGAUGUGAAAUCCCUGGGCUUAACCUAGGAAUUGCACCCGAUACUGGGUAUCUAGAGUAUGGUAGAGGGAAGUGGAAUUUCCGGUGUAGCGGUGAAAUGCGUAGAUAUCGGAAAGAACACCAGUGGCGAAGGCGGCUUCCUGGACCAAUACUGACACUGAGGCGCGAAAGCGUGGGGAGCAAACAGGAUUAGAUACCCCUGUAGUC